UAAAUAUGGCAAAGCAGUAGAAAUGCUGUGACGCAAAGCUAUAGGGUCUUUAAAAUGACAGCCAGUUGC
RNAcentral lists this non-coding RNA (69 nucleotides) under uncultured Fusobacterium sp. RNAcentral's name for it is "Cyclic di-GMP-I riboswitch". It matches the Rfam family "c-di-GMP-I riboswitch aptamer". From Rfam's summary of the family: GEMM was predicted in a large-scale screen for bacterial structured RNA regulatory elements. Genes associated with GEMM are involved in a diverse array of functions, including chemotaxis regulation, signal transduction, secretion and chitin. The record is from RNAcentral. Lineage: Bacteria; Fusobacteriati; Fusobacteriota; Fusobacteriia; Fusobacteriales; Fusobacteriaceae.